CCACUUAUAAUCUUCCUUUGAGGAAAGAGCACUGUGGAGACCUUUCAUGUAGAGGUGGAAGAACAGCCUUGAAACAUACGAAUUGCAACAAAUAACAUCUAGCAGUUGAAUUCUAGCUGUUCAGAAAUCUUUGAGAGAGAGAAAGAAGUGAAGCAUAAGGUUCAUAUUAAGAUGUAUCCUCUUGGAAAUGGAGCAGGCAGGCAGAGACUGAAUCUGGACCAUAGCCCUUGGGUCUCCUAAGGCUGGAAAUACAGGUACCAUUUCACUCAAAGGU
Non-coding RNA from Pelodiscus sinensis (Chinese soft-shelled turtle), 274 nucleotides. Lineage: Eukaryota; Metazoa; Chordata; Testudines; Trionychidae. The record is from RefSeq and is a predicted model, not a curated record.